Molecule: long non-coding RNA, 502 nt
Organism: Ornithorhynchus anatinus (platypus)
Lineage: Eukaryota; Metazoa; Chordata; Mammalia; Monotremata; Ornithorhynchidae
Exons: 4
Source: RefSeq, a predicted model, not a curated record
UGAAGAGGAACGAGUUUCCACCCAGGAUGAAGGUGAGAGAGUGAAUGAAAAGUUGAACUGGGGAGAUGCAGAGAGUGUGAGUUGAAGAAGUAGAAGAGAAUCAACAGGGAAGAGGGAGAGAAAGAGCUGAUAGAGUCUCUUGAAGCCAAGUUCCUGUUUUAUGCCAAGAUAAAUAGGGACUAGGAAAGAUGUUUUCUAUUCAUUGAGCCAGACUGAGUUCUGCUGAAUCAGCUGACACAUGUUCUGGUGGCCUGCUGCGAAGCAUAUAUGAAAAAUGAACUGAUCGGCAUUGUCAUAAUGGGGAAAAAGAAAGGUGGGAAGAAUAUUGUCUCCAUUCUACUACAAGAUAUUUGCAUAAUGAAUUUCAGUGAACAUCAUUACUGAAAGCAAAAAGUGACAAAGAAACUGUGAUCUGCUCUAGGAAAUGAAUGCAGAGUUUGCUUGAUACAAUUAAUGAGCUUUAACAUCAGUAGAUUCCUCAAGUAAAAGCAGUUCCCAACAA